This 431-nucleotide ribosomal RNA is filed under the name uncultured bacterium. Its description in RNAcentral is "partial 16S ribosomal RNA". It matches the Rfam family "Bacterial small subunit ribosomal RNA", at positions 29 to 507 of the family's 1533-position model. The record is from RNAcentral.
AACGAACGCUGGCGGCAGGCUUAACACAUGCAAGUCGAGCGCCCCGCCAGGGGAGCGGCAGACGGGUGAGUAACGCGUGGGAACGUACCCUUAUCUUCGGGAUAGCUCCGGGAAACUGGAAUUAAUACCGAAUGUGCCCUUUGGGGGAAAGGUUUAUCGGGUAAGGAUCGGCCCGCGUUGGAUUAGCGAGUUGGUGGGGUCAAGGCCUCCCAAGGCGACUGUCCAUAGCUGGUCUGAGAGGAUGAUCAGCCACAUUGGGACUGAGAAACGGCCCAAACUCCUCCGGGAGGCAGCAGUGGGGAAUAUUGGACAAUGGGCGCAAGCCUGAUCCAGCCAUGCCGCGUGAGUGAUGAAGGCCUUAGGGUUGUAAAGCUCUUUCACCGGAGAAGAUAAUGACGGUACCCGGAGAAGAAGCCCCGGCUAACUUCGUG